RNAcentral lists this ribosomal RNA (450 nucleotides) under uncultured bacterium. RNAcentral describes it as "partial 16S ribosomal RNA". It matches the Rfam family "Bacterial small subunit ribosomal RNA", at positions 354 to 796 of the family's 1533-position model. The record is from RNAcentral.
GUGGGGAAUAUUGGACAAUGGGCGAAAGCCUGAUCCAGCCAUGCCGCGUGUGUGAAGAAGGUCUUCGGAUUGUAAAGCACUUUAAGUUGGGAGGAAGGGCAGUAAGUCAAUACCUUGCUGUUUUGACGUUACCAACAGAAUAAGCACCGGCUAACUUCGUGCCAGCAGCCGCGGUAAUACGAAGGGUGCAAGCGUUAAUCGGAAUUACUGGGCGUAAAGCGCGCGUAGGUGGUUUUGUAAGUUGGAGGUGAAAUCCCCGGGCUCAACCUGGGAACUGCCUCCAAAACUGCAUGACUAGAGUACGGUAGAGGGUAGUGGAAUUUCCUGUGUAGCGGUGAAAUGCGUAGAUAUAGGAAGGAACACCAGUGGCGAAGGCGACUACCUGGACUGAUACUGACACUGAGGUGCGAAAGCGUGGGGAGCAAACAGGAUUAGAUACCCUAGUAGUCC